AUUUAUGGACACAUGACUCAACAUGAGUAAAAAUUAAUCUAAUUUAUUUUAUUCAAUUACAAAACUAUGCCACUAGAAAGGUUAUAUGUGUCGGCCGACUAGACUUCUAGGGCAUACAUCUAACAUCAACUAGACAUUUAGAUCCUCUAUUGGUCUAUAAAAUUUUUAGAGACAAAAAUCCAUAAAGAGAGAAAGAAUCUAGAGUGAGAAAUUUUUAAAGAAAAGUAGAGAGAGAAAAUAGAUGGAAACUCAUAGAGAGAAAAUGGAGAAAGAAGGU
RNAcentral lists this long non-coding RNA (277 nucleotides) under Elaeis guineensis (African oil palm). Its description in RNAcentral is "long non-coding RNA (EGUI_LNC022064)". The record is from RNAcentral. Lineage: Eukaryota; Viridiplantae; Streptophyta; Magnoliopsida; Arecales; Arecaceae.